UACGUAGGUGGCGAGCGUUGUCCGGAAUUAUUGGGCGUAAAGCGCGCGCAGGUGGUUAUACAAGUCUUUCUUAAAAGUUCCGGGCUCAACCCGGUGAUGGGGGAGAAACUGUAUGGCUUGAGUGCAGGAGGGGCAGGCGGAAUUCCCAGUGUAGCGGUGAAAUGCGUAGAUAUUGGGAGGAACACCAGUGGCGAAGGCGGCCUGCUGGACUGAUACUGACACUGAGGCGCGAAAGCCAGGGGAGC
This 245-nucleotide ribosomal RNA is filed under the name uncultured bacterium. Its description in RNAcentral is "partial 16S ribosomal RNA". It matches the Rfam family "Bacterial small subunit ribosomal RNA", at positions 524 to 769 of the family's 1533-position model. The record is from RNAcentral.